RNAcentral lists this transfer RNA (70 nucleotides) under Gonatodes albogularis (yellow-headed gecko). RNAcentral's name for it is "tRNA-Phe". Lineage: Eukaryota; Metazoa; Chordata; Lepidosauria; Squamata; Sphaerodactylidae. The record is from RNAcentral.
GUUCCUGUAGCUUACACGUCAUUUAAAGCAUGCCCCUGAAGCGGUCACGAUGGAUCCCCUCCCAAGAACA